AACGAACGCUGGCGGCAGGCUUAACACAUGCAAGUUGAACGGGAUUUGUGUGGUGCUUGCACCAUAUAAUGAGAGUAGCGCACUGGUGAGUAACACGUGGGAACGUACCUUUUGGUGGGGGACAACAUCUGGAAACGGAUGCUAAUACCGCAUAAGACCUGAGGGUGAAAGAUUUAUCGCCGAAAGAACGGCCCGCGGAAGAUUAGGCAGUUGGUGGGGUAAAGGCCUACCAAACCUACGAUCUAUAGCUGGUCUGAGAGGACGAUCAGCCACACUGGAACUGAGACACGGUCCAG
RNAcentral lists this ribosomal RNA (296 nucleotides) under uncultured bacterium. RNAcentral's name for it is "partial 16S ribosomal RNA". It matches the Rfam family "Bacterial small subunit ribosomal RNA", at positions 29 to 334 of the family's 1533-position model. The record is from RNAcentral.